CAGAAGUCUUGAAGUAAAUGCAUCACCAACAUUGGAGCUGGCAGUCUGCUUCCAUAUGGACUGGACUAUGGAUUUCAGAGGGAAAACAACUGUACUUCUAAGAAGGAGAGAGACUAGACUUUAGAAGAUAUUGAAGUCUGAAGUUAAGAAGUGAAUUCAUGGAAACCAGAUUUAAACAUCCAACACUGGGGGACUGUUCUCCCUAGCAAGGAACAGCAACGCUCUGAUUUCACACACUACACUCACUGUCACGCAGACCUGGAAAGACAUCUCUGAAUCUCUGGUUCACCAGAUGCUACAGAGGUACUUCUGUACCAUAAAGGUAACAAGCACAGUUUUGCCAGUGAAGAAAGAGAUCUGCAUAAGGCCUUGCUGUCUGCU
Long non-coding RNA from Lepidothrix coronata (blue-crowned manakin), 381 nucleotides. RefSeq lists it as uncharacterized. The transcript is spliced from 3 exons. The record is from RefSeq and is a predicted model, not a curated record. NCBI's taxonomy places the organism in Eukaryota, Metazoa, Chordata, Aves, Passeriformes, Pipridae.